AUUGAACGCUGGCGGCAGGCCUAACACAUGCAAGUCGAACGGCAGCACAGAAGAGCUUGCUCUUUGGGUGGCGAGUGGCGGACGGGUGAGUAAUGUCUGGGAAACUGCCCGAUGGAGGGGGAUAACUACUGGAAACGGUAGCUAAUACCGCAUAACGUCGCAAGACCAAAGUGGGGGACCUUCGGGCCUCACACCAUCGGAUGUGCCCAGAUGGGAUUAGCUAGUAGGUGGGGUAACGGCUCACCUAGGCGACGAUCCCUAGCUGGUCUGAGAGGAUGACCAGCCACACUGGAACUGGGAAACGGUCCAGACUCCUACGGGAGGCAGCAGUGGGGAAUAUUGCACAAUGGGCGCAAGCCUGAUGCAGCCAUGCCGCGUGUAUGAAGAAGGCCUUCGGGUUGUAAAGUACUUUCAGCGGGGAGGAAGGCGAUACGGUUAAUAACCGUGUUGAUUGACGUUACCCGCAGAAGAAGCACCGGCUAACUCCGUGCCAGCCGCCGCGGUAA
RNAcentral lists this ribosomal RNA (506 nucleotides) under uncultured bacterium. RNAcentral's name for it is "partial 16S ribosomal RNA". It matches the Rfam family "Bacterial small subunit ribosomal RNA", at positions 30 to 523 of the family's 1533-position model. The record is from RNAcentral.